ACCAGAGAGGACAUCCUGUAAAGAAUGGGAGAAACAAAAGAGAUCAUUUCUGUUGAAUCUGUGUCUGCAAGCUGCACUCGCAGAUACACCGGCCACUACAGACACAACUAUAGAAGCACUGAUGUCUGUUGAGGAAUAUCAGAGAUGUGAUUUCCUGCUGGAUCUGUGUUCACAUGUGAAGGACUAUGAGACUCAAACAGGCAGGAGUGUCCUUCCAGUAUUACAGCCAAUUUAUCAGUCAGCUCCUGAAGUCUGGAUCAUAAACCUCUCAGAGAAAAAGAGCUCCAUCCUCCUAGAAGUGCUGAAACUCCAAACAGAGAAGAAACCAGUAGAGCUGAGAGACUGGACAGAUGAAGAGAGUGAAGUGAGGGGAUUCCUCCAGUGUCUGCCCUACAUCUCACAGCUCAGAUUUGUUAAACCA
Molecule: long non-coding RNA, 421 nt
Organism: Megalobrama amblycephala (Wuchang bream)
Lineage: Eukaryota; Metazoa; Chordata; Actinopteri; Cypriniformes; Xenocyprididae
Exons: 3
Source: RefSeq, a predicted model, not a curated record